AAGUCGUAACAAGGUUUCCGUAGGUGAACCUGCGGAAGGAUCAUUAACACGUGAUACUCACGUAUUAACCAAACGCGAAAUGUUGUUUUAAGCCUAUUAUUGGAUAUGAGCUGACUGUUUGGGAAUGGUGUGAUUACGGUGCUUCGCGCAUAGGGUCUAACUUACAGUCUUAGCGUGCUUGACACGCGGUUUGUUCCAAUAAUAGUAGAUAAAUUUCGACUGCUUAUUAAGCCUGCACCUUGGCUUGCAGUCGAAGUGCUGAUUACUUACCCCUUAUUUUUAUUUAUUCUGAUUUGUACGUUUAUAUGAAUUCCUAUUGCGUAAGCAUUAGUUGAGUUUAUAUAGAUGUCGUAUAUUACUAAUACGAAACAACUCUUAGCAACGGAUAUCUUGGUUCUCGUAACGAUGAAGAACGCGGC
This 419-nucleotide unclassified non-coding RNA is filed under the name fungal sp. RNAcentral describes it as "partial internal transcribed spacer region". The stretch from base 1 to 46 matches the Rfam family "Eukaryotic small subunit ribosomal RNA", at positions 1786 to 1831 of the family's 1831-position model. Lineage: Eukaryota; Fungi. The record is from RNAcentral.